UACGUAGGGUGCAAGCGUUAAUCGGAAUUACUGGGCGUAAAGCGUGCGCAGGCGGUUUUGUAAGUCUGAUGUGAAAUCCCCGGGCUCAACCUGGGAAUUGCAUUGGAGACUGCAAGGCUAGAAUCUGGCAGAGGGGGGUAGAAUUCCACGUGUAGCAGUGAAAUGCGUGGAGAUGUGGAGGAACACCGAUGGCGAAGGCAGCCCCCUGGGUCAAGAUUGACGCUCAUGCACGAAAGCGUGGGGAGCAAACAGG
This 253-nucleotide ribosomal RNA is filed under the name uncultured bacterium. Its description in RNAcentral is "partial 16S ribosomal RNA". It matches the Rfam family "Bacterial small subunit ribosomal RNA", at positions 524 to 776 of the family's 1533-position model. The record is from RNAcentral.